Molecule: ribosomal RNA, 253 nt
Filed under: uncultured bacterium
Lineage: Bacteria
Description: partial 16S ribosomal RNA
Rfam family: Bacterial small subunit ribosomal RNA
Source: RNAcentral
UACGUAGGGGGCAAGCGUUGUCCGGAAUCAUUGGGCGUAAAGCGCGUGUAGGCGGCCCGGAAAGUCUGGUGUGAAAACUUGAGGCUCAACCUCAAGCUGUCACUGGAUACUAUCGGGCUUGAGUCCGGAAGAGGAGAAUGGAAUUCCUGGUGUAGCGGUGGAAUGCGCAGAUAUCAGGAGGAACACCAAUGGCGAAGGCAGCUCUCUGGUACGGUAUUGACGCUGAGACGCGAAAGCGUGGGGAGCGAACAGG